Molecule: ribosomal RNA, 1247 nt
Filed under: Sugarcane whiteleaf phytoplasma
Lineage: Bacteria; Bacillati; Mycoplasmatota; Mollicutes; Acholeplasmatales; Acholeplasmataceae
Description: bacterial SSU rRNA
Rfam family: Bacterial small subunit ribosomal RNA
Source: RNAcentral
GAAACGACUGCUAAGACUGGAUAGGAAAUAAAAAGGCAUCUUUUUAUUUUUAAAAGACCUUUUUCGGAAGGUAUGCUUAAAGAGGGGCUUGCGUCACAUUAGUUAGUUGGCAGGGUAAAGGCCUACCAAGACUAUGAUGUGUAGCUGGACUGAGAGGUUGAACAGCCACAUUGGGACUGAGACACGGCCCAAACUCCUACGGGAGGCAGCAGUAGGGAAUUUUCGGCAAUGGAGGAAACUCUGACCGAGCAACGCCGCGUGAACGAUGAAGUAUUUCGGUAUGUAAAGUUCUUUUAUUGAAGAAGAAAAAAUAGUGGAAAAACUAUCUUGACGAUAUUCAAUGAAUAAGCCCCGGCAAACUAUGUGCCAGCAGCCGCGGUAAUACAUAGGGGGCGAGCGUUAUCCGGAAUUAUUGGGCGUAAAGGGUGCGUAGGCGGUUUAAUAAGUCUAUAGUUUAAUUUCAGUGCUUAACACUGUCCUGCUAUAGAAACUAUUAGACUAGAGUGAGAUAGAGGCAAGCGGAAUUCCAUGUGUAGCGGUAAAAUGCGUAAAUAUAUGGAGGAACACCAGAGGCGUAGGCGGCUCGCUGGGUCUUUACUGACACUGAGGCACGAAAGCGUGGGGAGCAAACAGGAUUAGAUACCCUGGUAGUCCACGCCGUAAACGAUGAGUACUAAGUGUCGGGAUUACUCGGUACUGAAGUUAACACAUUAAGUACUCCGCCUGAGUAGUACGUACGCAAGUAUGAAACUUAAAGGAAUUGACGGGACUCCGCACAAGCGGUGGAUCAUGUUGUUUAAUUCGAAGAUACACGAAAAACCUUACCAGGUCUUGACAUACUCUGCAAAGCUAUAGCAAUAUAGUGGAGGUUAUCAGGGAUACAGGUGGUGCAUGGUUGUCGUCAGCUCGUGUCGUGAGAUGUUAGGUUAAGUCCUAAAACGAGCGCAACCCUUGUCAUUAGUUGCCAGCAUGUCAUGAUGGGCACUUUAAUGAGACUGCCAAUGAAAAAUUGGAGGAAGGUGAGGAUCACGUCAAAUCAUCAUGGCCCUUAUGAUCUGGGCUACAAACGUGAUACAAUGGCUGUUACAAAGAGUAGCUGAAACGCAAGUUUAUAGCCAAUCUCAUAAAAGCAGUCUCAGUUCGGAUUGAAGUCUGCAACUCGACUUCAUGAAGUUGGAAUCGCUAGUAAUCGCGAAUCAGCAUGUCGCGGUGAAUACGUUCUCGGGGUUUGUACACACCGCCCGUCA